AUGAGCCAGAAAGCUCUUUAUAUUAAUGACCAAUUCUAUUCUGGUGUCGACCUAAAAGUGGCUAGUUCAUUCCGUCUGUCAAUCAAAGACCUCCCUUGUCAUCAAUUAAUCUCAAAGUUCUUCGAGAACUAGAAAUGCAGAACCUUCGGCGAUUUAACGUGAUAUUAGAUCCAGUGGACUCUUUUGAACCCCUUUCGAAGCUCUUUAGAUUCACUUAAAACUGUCUUGCUCUCGGACCUAGAAAGGACUAUCCACCAUAAAACUGAUUGUCACCAAAUCUAAAAACAUGAAGAACCUACACCCUCCAAAAAGGAACAGAUCUCUCAAGUCACUCCAAACUACUGCCCAAUCCGCAUUUCACCACCAAAAACCACCGCAGUGCUUCCAAAAAUUUAAAGAAAUGUGACACUAGCUCCAAAAUACCGAGAGCCACAUCUCAACCACCGCUCUCCAAAACCGCAAUCGCUCCAGCCACA
RNAcentral lists this long non-coding RNA (476 nucleotides) under Physcomitrium patens. Its description in RNAcentral is "long non-coding RNA (PPAT_LNC001090)". The record is from RNAcentral. Lineage: Eukaryota; Viridiplantae; Streptophyta; Bryopsida; Funariales; Funariaceae.